This 271-nucleotide ribosomal RNA is filed under the name uncultured prokaryote. RNAcentral's name for it is "partial 16S ribosomal RNA". It matches the Rfam family "Bacterial small subunit ribosomal RNA", at positions 524 to 794 of the family's 1533-position model. The record is from RNAcentral.
UACGUAGGUGGCAAGCGUUGUCCGGAAUUACUGGGUGUAAAGGGCGUGUAGGCGGGGAGACAAGUCAGAUGUGAAAUACCGUGGCUUAACUGCGGGGGUGCAUCUGAAACUGUUUCUCUUGAGUGUCGGAGAGGAAAGUGGAAUUCCCAGUGUAGCGGUGAAAUGCGUAGAGAUUGGGAGGAACACCAGUGGCGAAGGCGGCUUUCUGGACGAUAACUGACGCUGAGGCGCGAAAGCGUGGGUAGCAAACAGGAUUAGAUACCCCUGUAGU